GAUGAAGAACGCAGCGAAAUGCGAUAAGUAAUGUGAAUUGCAGAAUUCAGUGAAUCAUCGAAUCUUUGAACGCACAUUGCGCCCCCUGGUAUUCCGGGGGGCAUGCCUGUCCGAGCGUCAUUACAACCCUCAAGCUCAGCUUGGUGUUGGGCCCCGCCGCCCCGGCGGGCCCUAAAGUCAGUGGCGGUGCCGUCCGGCUCCGAGCGUAGUAAUUCUUCUCGCUCUGGAGGUCCGGUCGUGUGCUCGCCAGCAACCCCCAAUUUUUUUCAGGUUGACCUCGGAUCAGGUAGGGAUACCCGCUGAACUUAAGCAUAUCAAUAGCGGAGA
This 327-nucleotide unclassified non-coding RNA is filed under the name soil metagenome. RNAcentral's name for it is "partial contains 5.8S ribosomal RNA, internal transcribed spacer 2, and large subunit ribosomal RNA". The stretch from base 1 to 120 matches the Rfam family "5.8S ribosomal RNA", at positions 35 to 154 of the family's 154-position model. The record is from RNAcentral.